This 206-nucleotide unclassified non-coding RNA is filed under the name Hevea brasiliensis (rubber tree). The record is from RNAcentral. Lineage: Eukaryota; Viridiplantae; Streptophyta; Magnoliopsida; Malpighiales; Euphorbiaceae.
UUAAAAAAAGAGAAGGAAAAGACCACAAAAGGAAACCUUUACAAGCAAGCCCACCAUAGACACCAAAUGAACAACUAAGUUUUACAAUUCAUAAUACGUGGCAAAUCUUUUCUACUCCUACAACUUGUUUCUUCAAUUUUGUUUGCUACCAAUAAGAUGCUUCCAAAAUUAGUUAGAAGUUUUCCACUAUAGCCUUUGCUUCACCC